UAGGUGGUUCGUUAAGUCUGAUGUGAAAGCCCUGGGCUCAACCUGGGAAUUGCAUUGGAUACUGGCGGGCUAGAGUACGGUAGAGGGUGGCGGAAUUCCUGGUGUAGCAGUGAAAUGCGUAGAUAUCAGGAGGAACAUCCGUGGCGAAGGCGGCCACCUGGACCAGUACUGACACUGAGGCACGAAAGCGUGGGGAGCAAACAGGAUUAGAUACCCUGGUAGUCCACGCCCUAAACNAUGCGAACUGGAUGCUGGGUUCAAUUAGGAACUCANUAUCNAAGCUAACNCGUUNAGUUCNCCNCCUGGGGANUACGGUCNCAAACUGAANCUCAAAGAAUUGACGGGGCCCCCCCANCGGU
This 359-nucleotide ribosomal RNA is filed under the name uncultured bacterium. Its description in RNAcentral is "partial 16S ribosomal RNA". It matches the Rfam family "Bacterial small subunit ribosomal RNA", at positions 572 to 933 of the family's 1533-position model. The record is from RNAcentral.